ACAAAUCUCUGCGUGCUGUACAGCCGAAAGGCUGCUACCAGCACACAUAAGCACCCUAGGGCACACGCCCUAGUGUGAGGGGGGCCUACGGAGCAAUCCAGCGGCCCCCACAGGUCAUUCGUGACCACAUUAACGCUUGUUUGUUUGACAGAGUUAUGUGAAUACACAAAUUGA
RNAcentral lists this unclassified non-coding RNA (174 nucleotides) under uncultured fungus. RNAcentral describes it as "sequence contains ITS1". Lineage: Eukaryota; Fungi. The record is from RNAcentral.